Molecule: ribosomal RNA, 439 nt
Filed under: uncultured bacterium
Lineage: Bacteria
Description: partial 16S ribosomal RNA
Rfam family: Bacterial small subunit ribosomal RNA
Source: RNAcentral
CUACGGGAUGCAGCGGUGGGGAAUAUUGCACAAUGGAGGAAACUCUGAUGCAGCAACGCCGCGUGGAGGAUGACACUUUUCGGAGCGUAAACUCCUUUUAUAUAGGAAGAAGAUGACGGUACUAUAUGAAUAAGCGCCGGCUAACUCCGUGCCAGCAGCCGCGGUAAUACGGAGGGCGCAAGCGUUACUCGGAAUCACUGGGCGUAAAGAGCGUGUAGGCGGAUUAAAAAGUCAGAAGUGGAAUCCUAUAGCUUAACUAUAGAACUGCUUCUGAAACUCUUAAUCUAGAAUAUGGGAGAGGUAGAUGGAAUUUCUGGUGUAGGGGUAAAAUCCGUAGAGAUCAGAAGGAAUACCGAUUGCGAAGGCGAUCUACUAGAACAUUAUUGACGCUGAGACGCGAAAGCGUGGGGAGCAAACAGGAUUAGAUACCCUAGUAGUC